GCCCCGGUAAACGGCGGCCGUAACUAUAACGGUCCUAAGGUAGCGAAAUUCCUUGUCGGGUAAGUUCCGACCUGCACGAAUGGCGUAAUGAUGGCCAGGCUGUCUCCACCCGAGACUCAGUGAAAUUGAACUCGCUGUGAAGAUGCAGUGUACCCGCGGCAAGACGGAAAGACCCCGUGAACCUUUACUAUAGCUUGACACUGAACACUGGUCCUUGAUGUGUAGGAUAGGUGGGAGGCUUUGAAGCGUGGACGCCAGUCUGCGUGGAGCCAACCUUGAAAUACCACCCUUUAAUGGCUGGUGUUCUAACGUAGACCCGUAAUCCGGGUUGCGGACAGUGUCUGGUGGGUAGUUUGACUGGGGCGGUCUCCUCCCAAAGAGUAACGGAGGAGCACGAAGGUUAGCUAAUCCUGGUCGGACAUCAGGAGGUUAGUGCAAUGGCAUAAGCUAGCUUGACUGCGAGAGUGACGGCUCGAGCAGGUGCGAAAGCAGGUCAUAGUGAUCCGGUGGUUCUGAAUGGAAGGGCCAUCGCUCAACGGAUAAAAGGUACUCCGGGGAUAACAGGCUGAUACCGCCCAAGAGUUCAUAUCGACGGCGGUGUUUGGCACCUCGAUGUCGGCUCAUCACAUCCUGGGGCUGAAGUAGGUCCCAAGGGUAUGGCUGUUCGCCAUUUAAAGUGGUACGCGAGCUGGGUUUAGAACGUCGUGAGACAGUUCGGUCCCUAUCUGCCGUGGGCGCUGGAGAAUUGAGGGGGGCUGCUCCUAGUACGAGAGGACCGGAGUGGACGCAUCACUGGUGUUCGGGUUGUCAUGCCAAUGGCACUGCCCGGUAGCUAAAUGCGGAAGAGAUAAGUGCUGAAAGCAUCUAAGCACGAAACUUGCCCCGAGAUGAGUUCUCCCUGAGACUUUAAGUCUCCUGAAGGAACGUUGAAGACUACGACGUUGAUAGGUCGGGUGUGUAAGCGCAGCGAUGCGUUGAGCUAACCGAUACUAAUGAACCGUGAGGCUUAACCUU
RNAcentral lists this ribosomal RNA (1014 nucleotides) under Enterobacter ludwigii. Its description in RNAcentral is "partial 23S ribosomal RNA". It matches the Rfam family "Bacterial large subunit ribosomal RNA", at positions 1917 to 2925 of the family's 2925-position model. Lineage: Bacteria; Pseudomonadati; Pseudomonadota; Gammaproteobacteria; Enterobacterales; Enterobacteriaceae. The record is from RNAcentral.